This 572-nucleotide ribosomal RNA is filed under the name uncultured fungus. Its description in RNAcentral is "eukaryotic LSU rRNA". The stretch from base 208 to 361 matches the Rfam family "5.8S ribosomal RNA". The record is from RNAcentral. Lineage: Eukaryota; Fungi.
AAGUCGUAACAAGGUCUCCGUAGGUGAACCUGCGGAGGGAUCAUUAUCGAGUUCUGGUUUCGAAUCGAAACCGACCUCCAACCCUAUGUUGUCAAGACCAUGUUGCCUCGGGGAGUCCGUCUCCUUUCUAGGAGAACUGAGCCCCGGUGGACCACUAUAACUCUGUUUUAUUUGAAGUCUGAGAACAAAAGUAAUUCAAUUACACAAAACUUUCAACAACGGAUCUCUUGGUUCUGGCAUCGAUGAAGAACGCAGCGAAAUGCGAUAAGUAAUGUGAAUUGCAGAAUUCAGUGAAUCAUCGAAUCUUUGAACGCACAUUGCGCCCUCUGGUAUUCCGGGGGGCAUGCCUGUUCGAGCGUCAUUACACCUCUCAAGCCUCGCUUGGUAUUGGAGGCCUGCGAUCUUGUGUUGAACGAGAUUGCACCUCUUGAAGUCUUCUCGGCUGGUAAUUUCUUACCCUCUGCGUUGUGGAAACCAUUCGCUGAUGGGUGUGGGAUCGAUCAAUCGCCGUUAAACAAAACAACCAUCAAAAGGUUGACCUCGAAUCAGGUAGGGAUACCCGCUGAACUUAA